UACGGAGGGUGCAAGCAUUAAUCGGAUUUAUUGGGCGUAAAGGGCGCGUAGGCGGGCCUGUAAGUCAGAUGUGAAAUCCCGAAGCUCAACUUCGGGAUAGCAUUUGAAACUGCAAGUCUAGAGGGUAGGCGGAGAAAGUAGAAUUCCACAAGUAGCGGUGAAAUGCGUAGAGAUGUGGAAGAAUACCAGUGGCGAAGGCGACUUUCUAGCUUAUACCUGACGCUGAGGCGCGAAAGCAAGGGGAUCAAACAGG
This 253-nucleotide ribosomal RNA is filed under the name uncultured bacterium. Its description in RNAcentral is "partial 16S ribosomal RNA". It matches the Rfam family "Bacterial small subunit ribosomal RNA", at positions 524 to 776 of the family's 1533-position model. The record is from RNAcentral.